CUACCCUGAUCAGGGAGUCUGGGGAAGGCAUCCCUGAAGAAGUGAUCAUUGAGCUGAGCUCUAAAGGAUGGGUAGGAGUUAAUUAGGCAGCUAUGGGUAGGAGAGCCUUCCAUACAGAAGGAAGAACGUCUGCAAACCCUGUGGCCACAGGAAGCAUGGUACCUACUAGGACCUGAAGGAAGCCCUGUGUCCAGGAAGAUCAGAGUUGGAGGAAGGAGGAGGGGUAUAGCAGAUGAAGACAGAGAGGUGGUGUGGGUCAGAUACUGCUUUAGUUCAUUUCAUCCUGCUGCAACUAUAUCACAGACUGGGCAAUUUAUAAUGAAUAACAAUUUAUCUGGCUCACGGUUCUGGAGGCUGGAGGCCAAACUAACUUUUAUUUUAUUUAUUUAUUUAUUUAUUUUGAGAUGGAGUCUCGCUCUGUCGCCCAGGCUGCAGUGCAGUGGCACCAUCUUGGCUCACUGCAACCUCCGCCUCCCGGGUUCAAGCAUUUCUCCUGCUUCACCCUUCCCAGUAGCUGGGAUUACAGGUGUGUGCCACCACGCCCAGCUAAUUUUUUGUAUUUUUAGUAGAGACGGGGUUUCACAGUGUUAGCCAGGAUGGUCUCAAUCUCCUGACGUUGUGAUCCACCUGCCUCGGCUUCCCAAAGUGCUGGGAUUACAGGUGUGAGCCACCACUCCCAGCCCCCAAACUCACUUUUGUAACAAAUCCACUUGUGAUAACUAACACACUCCUGUGAUAACAACAUUUAGUCAUUUUUAUUCACCUCUUACUAGGCCCCGUCUUCCAACACUGUUGCAUUGGGGAUUAAGCUUCUGGCACAUUAACUUUAGGGGAUGCAUUUAAAGCACAGCAGAUAUCAAGAGCAAGAUAUUAGGGCCUUGUAGGUCUCAGUAAUGAUAGUUAUCUUUAUCCCAGAACAAUGAAAAACCAUUAAGAUACAAGGUUCUGCAG
RNAcentral lists this long non-coding RNA (951 nucleotides) under Pan troglodytes (chimpanzee). RNAcentral's name for it is "long non-coding RNA NONPTRT014978". The record is from RNAcentral. Lineage: Eukaryota; Metazoa; Chordata; Mammalia; Primates; Hominidae.